Molecule: ribosomal RNA, 228 nt
Filed under: uncultured bacterium
Lineage: Bacteria
Description: partial 16S ribosomal RNA
Rfam family: Bacterial small subunit ribosomal RNA
Source: RNAcentral
UGCGUAGGCGGCCUGACAAGUCAGAGGUGAAAGGCUAUGGCUUAACCGUAUUAAGCCUUUGAAACUGACAGGCUUGAGUGCAGGAGAGGAAAGUGGAAUUCCUAGUGUAGCGGUGAAAUGCGUAGAUAUUAGGAGGAACACCAGUGGCGAAGGCGACUUUCUGGACUGUAACUGACGCUGAGGCACGAAAGCGUGGGGAGCGAACAGGAUUAGAUACCCUGGUAGUCC